GUGUUGUAUGAAAGGAGAGAAGGUUAGUACUCCGCUUGACAAGGAUGGAAGAGGCCCUCGGACCUAACAACAUGCGUACAGUUAAGGUAUUGCCGCCUACUUUGUGGCAUCUAACCAUAAUUUAAU
RNAcentral lists this non-coding RNA (126 nucleotides) under Rhinolophus ferrumequinum (greater horseshoe bat). The record is from RNAcentral. Lineage: Eukaryota; Metazoa; Chordata; Mammalia; Chiroptera; Rhinolophidae.